GGCCUUAUAUUCAAUUAUGAUUCUAGACUGCAAUUCUGGAGGUGUAGGUAAAUUACUAAGGCCU
RNAcentral lists this transfer RNA (64 nucleotides) under Xyleus modestus. RNAcentral describes it as "tRNA-Cys". Lineage: Eukaryota; Metazoa; Arthropoda; Insecta; Orthoptera; Romaleidae. The record is from RNAcentral.